AUUGAACGCUGGCGGCAGGCCUAACACAUGCAAGUCGAGCGGAUGAAGGGAGCUUGCUCCUGGAUUCAGCGGCGGACGGGUGAGUAAUGCCCAGGAAUCUGCCUGGUAGUGGGGGAUAACGUCCGGAAACGGGCGCUAAUACCGCAUACGUCCUGAUGGAGAAAGUGGGGGAUCUUCGGACCUCACGCUAUCAGAUGAGCCUAGGUCGGAUUAGCUAGUUGGUGGGGUAAAGGCCUACCAAGGCGACGAUCCGUAACUGGUCUGAGAGGAUGAUCAGUCACACUGGAACUGGGACACGGUCCAGACUCCUACGGGAGGCAGCAGUGGGGAAUAUUGGACAAUGGGCGAAAGCCUGAUCCAGCCAUGCCGCGUGUGUGAAGAAGGUCUUCGGAUUGUAAAGCACUUUAAGUUGGGAGGAAGGGCAGUAAGUUAAUACCUUGCUGUUUUGACGUUACCAACAGAAUAAGCACCGGCUAACUUCGUG
Molecule: ribosomal RNA, 484 nt
Filed under: uncultured bacterium
Lineage: Bacteria
Description: partial 16S ribosomal RNA
Rfam family: Bacterial small subunit ribosomal RNA
Source: RNAcentral